Scophthalmus maximus (turbot) is the source of this 284-nucleotide long non-coding RNA. RefSeq lists it as uncharacterized. The transcript is spliced from 3 exons. NCBI's taxonomy places the organism in Eukaryota, Metazoa, Chordata, Actinopteri, Pleuronectiformes, Scophthalmidae. The record is from RefSeq and is a predicted model, not a curated record.
CCCCGAACGACACCAGGUGUAACUUCGCGUCUCUUGAUUAGAAGUUAUCCGAACGACGAGAGACGCUGCGGACACGUACAACACGAUAAACAAGAGGCGAAGUCAACAAACACAAGAAAAUAAAGUUCGAGGGCGGAGCCAAGGACUUCUGUCAACAAACAACAAACAAAAUGUCAGCUGGACAUGGAAUAUGACAAACCCUUCAUCUUCAUGAGAGGAAGGAGAGACGACUUUGUCUUCUAAUUGAUACUUGGUGCCAUGAAAUCCAGGAACCAUCACAGAGG